UAAGGAAUAUUGGUCAAUGGACGCAAGUCUGAACCAGCCAUGCCGCGUGAAGGAUUAAGGCCCUCUGGGUUGUAAACUUCUUUUAUAGGGGAAGAAAUGUGACGGUUCCCCGUCACUUGACGGUACCCUGGGAAUAAGCACCGGCUAACUCCGUGCCAGCAGCCGCGGUAAUACGGAGGGUGCAAGCGUUAUCCGGAUUCACUGGGUUUAAAGGGUGCGUAGGUGGGCAGAUAAGUCAGUGGUGAAAUCUUCCGGCUUAACCGGGAAACUGCUGUUGAUACUAUUUGUCGUGAAUAGUGCGGAGGUAAGCGGAAUAUGUCAUGUAGCGGUGAAAUGCUUAGAUAUGACAUAGAACACCAAUUGCGAAGGCAGCUUACUACACAAUCAUUGACACUGAGGCACGAAAGCGUGGGUAGCGAACA
This 422-nucleotide ribosomal RNA is filed under the name uncultured bacterium. Its description in RNAcentral is "bacterial SSU rRNA". It matches the Rfam family "Bacterial small subunit ribosomal RNA", at positions 355 to 774 of the family's 1533-position model. The record is from RNAcentral.